RNAcentral lists this ribosomal RNA (447 nucleotides) under uncultured bacterium. Its description in RNAcentral is "partial 16S ribosomal RNA". It matches the Rfam family "Bacterial small subunit ribosomal RNA", at positions 29 to 523 of the family's 1533-position model. The record is from RNAcentral.
AACGAACGCUGGCGGCAGGCUUAACACAUGCAAGUCGAACGCCCCGCAAGGGUAGUGGCAGACGGGUGAGUAACGCGUGGGAAUCUACCCAUCUCUGCGGAAUAGCUCUGGGAAACUGGAAUUAAUACCGCAUACGCCCUACGGGGGAAAGAUUUAUCGGGGAUGGAUGAGCCCGCGUUGGAUUAGCUAGUUGGUGGGGUAAAGGCCUACCAAGGCGACGAUCCAUAGCUGGUCUGAGAGGAUGAUCAGCCACAUUGGGACUGAGACACGGCCCAGACUCCUACGGGAGGCAGUAGUGGGGAAUAUUGGACAAUGGGCGCAAGCCUGAUCCAGCCAUGCCGCGUGAGUGAUGAAGGCCUUAGGGUUGUAAAGCUCUUUCACCGAUGAAGAUAAUGACGGUAGUCGGAGAAGAGGCCCCGGCUAACUUCGUGCCAGCAGCCGCAGUAA